RNAcentral lists this ribosomal RNA (562 nucleotides) under uncultured bacterium. RNAcentral describes it as "bacterial SSU rRNA". It matches the Rfam family "Bacterial small subunit ribosomal RNA", at positions 338 to 916 of the family's 1533-position model. The record is from RNAcentral.
CCUACGGGAGGCAGCAGUAGGGAAUAUUGGUCAAUGGGCGAAAGCCUGAACCAGCAACGCCGCGUGCGCGAUGAAGGCCUUCGGGUCGUAAAGCGCUUUUGGGAGGGAUGAAAAUGGCAGUACCUCCCGAAUAAGGAUCGGCUAACUACGUGCCAGCAGCCGCGGUAAGACGUAGGAUCCAAGCGUUAUCCGGAAUUACUGGGCGUAAAGGGCGUGUAGGAGGUUGGGCAAGUCGGCCAUGAAAGCUCCCGGCUCAACUGGGAGAGGCUGGUCGAUACUGCCUGGCUAGAGGGCAAGAGAGGGAGGUGGAAUUCCCGGUGUAGUGGUGAAAUGCGUAGAUAUCGGGAGGAACACCAGUGGCGAAGGCGGCCUCCUGGCUUGUACCUGACUCUGAAACGCGAAAGCAUGGGUAGCAAACAGGAUUAGAAACCCUGGUAGUCCAUGCCAUAAACGAUGUCAACUGGGUGUCGGCGAAGUAAAAUUUGUCGGUGCCGAAGCUAACGCGUUAAGUUGACCGCCUGAGGACUACGAUCGCAAGAUUAAAACUUAAAGGAAUUGACGG